Molecule: RNA transcript, 2705 nt
Organism: Neltuma alba
Lineage: Eukaryota; Viridiplantae; Streptophyta; Magnoliopsida; Fabales; Fabaceae
Gene name: DEAD-box ATP-dependent RNA helicase 21
Exons: 3
Source: RefSeq, a predicted model, not a curated record
AUGAAACGCCCGAUCGAUGACAUCGUUGUGCCCUUGGCUUCUUCGGCUGCCUCCUCCGCUGCUGCGGCUCCUUCGAAACCGGUGUUCUUAACGAAAGCUCAACGUGAACAAUUGGCUCUUCAGCGACGCCAAGAAGAAAUCGCCGAACAAAGACGCCGUCAGGAACAACUGCUUUCUCGGAACCGCCCAUCCGACCCGAACUCUGAUUCUAAACCCUCCGAUUCCGAUCGACGGGACCGGGACCGGGACCGGGAACGGGACCGCGACCGCGACCGCGACCGGGACCGGGACCGGGACCGGGAUAGAGAGCGGGACCGUGAGCGCGAGCGUGAGCGAGAUAGGGCUCGGGAUCGGGACCGUGAAACAGAACGCAGGAACCGUGAGAGGGAGCGUGAAGAGGAGGCUAGGGCCCGCGAGCGUGCUCGGACGGAGAAAUUGGCAGAGCGGGAGCGUGAGAAAGAGCUUGAAGCGAUCAAGGAGCAGUAUCUUGGCUCGAAGAAGCCUAAGAAGCGGGUUAUCAAACCCAGUGAGAAGUUUCGGUUUUCCUUCGAUUGGGAGAACACGGAGGAUACUUCUCGUGACAUGAACAUUCUUUACCAGAAUCCUCACGAAGCGCAGCUUCUCUUUGGUCGUGGCUUUCGUGCUGGCAUGGACCGGCGUGAGCAGAAGAAGCUUGCUGCUAAGAAUGAGAAGGAGAUGCGUGAACAGAUCCGGAAGAAGGAGGGCGUGGAGGAGAAACCCGAAGAGGCUGUUGCACAACGGCGAAAGGAGGCUGCUGCUGACCUCUAUGACACCUUUGACAUGAGAGUUGACCGCCACUGGAGCGAGAAGAAGCUUGAGGAGAUGACUGAGAGGGAUUGGCGUAUAUUCAGGGAGGAUUUCAAUAUUUCCUACAAGGGUUCUAAAAUUCCUCGUCCAAUGCGUAGCUGGACCGAGAGUAAGUUGACUCUUGAGCUAUUGAAGGCGGUUGAGAAGGCUGGGUACAAAACCCCUUCUCCCAUUCAGAUGGCUGCCAUCCCUCUUGGCCUUCAGCAGCGUGAUGUCAUUGGCGUUGCCGAGACAGGUUCAGGGAAGACCGCUGCUUUUGUGCUUCCCAUGCUGAGUUACAUCACAAGGCUUCCUCCCAUGAGUGAAGAGAAUGAGGCUGAGGGUCCCUAUGCUGUUGUCAUGGCACCUACCCGUGAACUUGCACAGCAGAUUGAGGAUGAGACCGUGAAGUUUGCCCAGUAUCUUGGAAUCAAAGUGGUUUCCAUUGUUGGUGGACAGUCAAUUGAAGAGCAAGGUUUUAAAAUAAGGCAAGGUUGUGAAAUUGUAAUUGCCACUCCUGGUCGAUUGAUUGAUUGCUUGGAGAGGCGUUAUGCUGUCCUAAAUCAGUGCAAUUAUGUUGUUCUUGAUGAGGCUGACCGCAUGAUUGAUAUGGGGUUUGAGCCUCAAGUAAUGGGUGUCCUGGAUGCAAUGCCUUCCAGCAAUCUGAAACCAGAAAAUGAAGAUGAAGAGCUUGAUGAGAAGAGGAUUUACAGAACUACUUAUAUGUUCAGUGCCACCAUGCCUCCUGCUGUUGAGCGGCUUGCUAGGAAAUACCUGAGGAACCCUGUUGUGGUAACCAUAGGCACUGCAGGAAAGGCUACUGAUUUGAUCAGCCAGCAUGUGAUUAUGAUGAAGGAAUCUGAAAAGUUUUUCAAACUGCAACGGCUGCUUGAUGAACUUAAUGACAAGACAGCAAUUGUAUUCGUUAACACUAAGAAAAAUGCUGACAUGGUUGCAAAGAAUUUGGAUAGGGAUGGCUACCGUGUAACCACUCUGCAUGGUGGCAAGUCACAGGAGCAGAGAGAGAUUAGUCUUGAAGGAUUUAGGACCAAGAGAUAUAAUGUCUUGGUUGCUACUGAUGUUGCAGGGCGUGGGAUUGACAUACCUGAUGUGGCUCAUGUCAUAAACUAUGACAUGCCUGGGAAUAUUGAGAUGUACACACAUCGUAUUGGACGUACUGGUCGUGCUGGGAAGACAGGUGUUGCUACGACGUUCCUGACUCUUCAUGACACUGAUGUCUUUUAUGACCUCAAACAGAUGCUUAUACAGAGUAAUAGUCCUGUCCCUCCUGAAUUGGCCAGACAUGAGGCUUCAAAAUUCAAGCCAGGAACUAUUCCUGAUAGACCACCUAGACGGAAUGACACCGUAUUUGCACAUUGAAGACUUAGUUGUUCGAAUAGGCAGUUUUAAAAGGGAGCACUGACGUUGUGCGUGACAAUGAGUUUUUUAGAUGGCUGAACAGCUUGCCAGUGGAGCUAAGGGGGCGUAAUCUGCUUUUUGUAGACGAAUAGCGUUGUAUUUAGUUUAAUCAUAACUAUCCUUUAGUCCUGGAUCCGAAGCAUCUGCCUUAUUGGUCAUACUUCAUAUCGUUCUCUGAAGUGCAGGUGCAGGAGCGUAGCCACUCCGAGCAGGGGAAGCUUAUUGUACCUACGUGGCAAGUGUGUCAGUUGUGGAUUUUGGGGAGAGUUGUCCUGUUCGUCGCUCGUGUUCCAAGGUCUACGUAAAUCCUUUCAUGAAAGUUGUUGAAUUUUAUUUCUUCUAUACAAGUGCUCAUCUUUUUAGUAGUUUUUAGCUUGUUAAGUUUUUGUCGUGAGUUGCCAACAGUUCUAAUAUGUUCUUUAGUUUCUUUUCUGUUGCCUGUUGGAUUUGAAAAGGGGGCUCAGGAAAGCACACAACUU